RNAcentral lists this ribosomal RNA (1240 nucleotides) under Escherichia coli. RNAcentral describes it as "partial 23S ribosomal RNA". It matches the Rfam family "Bacterial large subunit ribosomal RNA", at positions 296 to 1549 of the family's 2925-position model. The record is from RNAcentral. Lineage: Bacteria; Pseudomonadati; Pseudomonadota; Gammaproteobacteria; Enterobacterales; Enterobacteriaceae.
AGCCCAGAGCCUGAAUCAGUGUGUGUGUUAGUGGAAGCGUCUGGAAAGGCGCGCGAUACAGGGUGACAGCCCCGUACACAAAAAUGCACAUACUGUGAGCUCGAUGAGUAGGGCGGGACACGUGGUAUCCUGUCUGAAUAUGGGGGGACCAUCCUCCAAGGCUAAAUACUCCUGACUGACCGAUAGUGAACCAGUACCGUGAGGGAAAGGCGAAAAGAACCCCGGCGAGGGGAGUGAAAAAGAACCUGAAACCGUGUACGUACAAGCAGUGGGAGCCUCUUAAUGGGGUGACUGCGUACCUUUUGUAUAAUGGGUCAGCGACUUAUAUUCUGUAGCAAGGUUAACCGAAUAGGGGAGCCGAAGGGAAACCGAGUCUUAACUGGGCGUUAAGUUGCAGGGUAUAGACCCGAAACCCGGUGAUCUAGCCAUGGGCAGGUUGAAGGUUGGGUAACACUAACUGGAGGACCGAACCGACUAAUGUUGAAAAAUUAGCGGAUGACUUGUGGCUGGGGGUGAAAGGCCAAUCAAACCGGGAGAUAGCUGGUUCUCCCCGAAAGCUAUUUAGGUAGCGCCUCGUGAAUUCAUCUCCGGGGGUAGAGCACUGUUUCGGCAAGGGGGUCAUCCCGACUUACCAACCCGAUGCAAACUGCGAAUACCGGAGAAUGUUAUCACGGGAGACACACGGCGGGUGCUAACGUCCGUCGUGAAGAGGGAAACAACCCAGACCGCCAGCUAAGGUCCCAAAGUCAUGGUUAAGUGGGAAACGAUGUGGGAAGGCCCAGACAGCCAGGAUGUUGGCUUAGAAGCAGCCAUCAUUUAAAGAAAGCGUAAUAGCUCACUGGUCGAGUCGGCCUGCGCGGAAGAUGUAACGGGGCUAAACCAUGCACCGAAGCUGCGGCAGCGACGUUUAUGCGUUGUUGGGUAGGGGAGCGUUCUGUAAGCCUGUGAAGGUGUACUGUGAGGUAUGCUGGAGGUAUCAGAAGUGCGAAUGCUGACAUAAGUAACGAUAAAGCGGGUGAAAAGCCCGCUCGCCGGAAGACCAAGGGUUCCUGUCCAACGUUAAUCGGGGCAGGGUGAGUCGACCCCUAAGGCGAGGCCGAAAGGCGUAGUCGAUGGGAAACAGGUUAAUAUUCCUGUACUUGGUGUUACUGCGAAGGGGGGACGGAGAAGGCUAUGUUGGCCGGGCGACGGUUGUCCCGGUUUAAGCGUGUAGGCUGGUUUUCCAGGCAAAUCCGGAAAA